AAUAUUACUAUAAUAAUCCCAAAUUAACGUACUGAUACAUAUAUGAAUCAUUAAAUGUCUCAUGUAAUUCCAGCAAAUUUACACUGCAUUCGGUUUCAGUUUUUGGCUUGAUCUGAAUCUGUAUCCGUAUCGCUUGGCUACAAUCAGUUUGGUAACCGUUUAAUUGGCCGACAAUGGAGCUGUUUGGUCCCCGGAAAAAUGUCAAGCGUGGAAUGCCGGGUAAAUGCGGCGGCUAAUCAGAGACCGUGGCCACAAAGACAGCCGUUUGGAGUGGAGGCCAGGGCCCCAUGAACAUGGACCCAUGAUCGAUUGCAGUCACCUCAACGCGAGGUGACAGUCACCGUCCGUGUCGCAGUUGACACACAGGCCACAAUCGACAGUCGACUGGGCGAGGCACUUGCGAUAUUCCACAUCCACAUCGAUUUCCAUUUCAAAUGGUAGCAAUUACAAAAGGCGACCCCCGAACUAUUUGACACUGUUUGCCGCUGAAUGUUGAUUAAUUAGAUCGAAGUGGACUGGCUUGGAUUGGAUACGAUUGGAUUGGAUUGGAUUGGCCAAGAUGGCGGGGGACUCUUCUCCCUACGAGAUUAGCGCAUCUGGAGAGGAUGGGCCCCCAAGAUAAAGGUAUAUAUAUGUAUAUACAUGUAAACCCAAAUAUCUGGCGUCGGCACAGCGUAUUUGAUCCACGAUGACUAGCUUGUAUUACUAAAAUAUGCUGAGUCUUGGUCUUCGGAUUCGAACUCGUAUCGCAUUCGAUCGCCAAACACUUUUUAGAGUAAUUUCAAUUUCAUAAUUCGUUGCGCUAAUCUCGUCUUUCUCAUGAUCGCAGAGAACUCGCAGCUGAGUCAGUGCAUCUCUUCAUCCCCAUCUCCACACAGAUCCCAGAUCCAUUUCCAGCUACUUCGGAUUGUGCCGCAUCAUGCCAAUGGAUCCGCUCCUCUGAUUGAUACAUAAACACGCGCAAAACUCCUUCUCCGAUCGGAUCUAUAUCUAUUUGGGUUCCAUUGGCGGCAUUUCUAAUAGAAAUGUCGAGUAUCCAAAGAAAUCAGAAGACUUUCGUUUUUUUCCCCGGCAUACUUUUGUUGUGGGCUGCUUCUUCCGUCGGCCGUCUUUUUAACUGUCUAAGCCCUUCCGCCGCCUUUAUCAAUAAGCCAGCCGAGAUAAGCCAACUGGCUUGGGGCGCAGGAGUCGAGCGACCCUGCUUCCUUGGCAUGUCAGCUAUUUUGCAUAACUGACAGCAGAACCCAUACCUACAAGAACGGCACAUACUCAGACCUCCAGCAAACAAUCAAAUGCUGUCUAGUGCCAAGAGUGGGCGUUCCAGGGGGAGUUUACCGACCAAAAAUGCUCUGCACAGUGGUAACGGAUUAAAGGUACAGAUUAAAGUUGAGCAAAUCGAUGCAGUAAUAAAUAUAUUAUAUAUAACAUAAACUUAAUAAUAUAUACUUAAGCUGAACACAGA
This 1462-nucleotide long non-coding RNA is filed under the name Drosophila melanogaster (fruit fly). RNAcentral's name for it is "long non-coding RNA:CR44415 (Dmel_CR44415)". Lineage: Eukaryota; Metazoa; Arthropoda; Insecta; Diptera; Drosophilidae. The record is from RNAcentral.